GAUGAACGCUGGCGGCGUGCCUAAUACAUGCAAGUCGAGCGAACGGACGAGAAGCUUGCUUCUCUGAUGUUAGCGGCGGACGGGUGAGUAACACGUGGAUAACCUACCUAUAAGACUGGGAUAACUUCGGGAAACCGGAACUAAUACCGGAUGAUAUUUUGAACCGCAUGGUUCAAAAGUGAAAGACGGUCUUGCUGUCACUUAUAGAUGGAUCCGCGCUGCAUUAGCUAGUUGGUAAGGUAACGGCUUACCAAGGCAACGAUGCAUAGCCGACCUGAGAGGGUGAUCGGCCACACUGGAACUGAGACACGGUCCAGACUCCUACGGGAGGCAGCAGUAGGGAAUCUUCCGCAAUGGGCGAAAGCCUGACGGAGCAACGCCGCGUGAGUGAUGAAGGUCUUCGGAUCGUAAAACUCUGUUAUUAGGGAAGAACAUAUGUGUAAGUAACUGUGCACAUCUUGACGGUACCUAAUCAGAAAGCCACGGCUAACUACGUG
This 497-nucleotide ribosomal RNA is filed under the name uncultured bacterium. RNAcentral's name for it is "partial 16S ribosomal RNA". It matches the Rfam family "Bacterial small subunit ribosomal RNA", at positions 28 to 507 of the family's 1533-position model. The record is from RNAcentral.